Molecule: non-coding RNA, 85 nt
Organism: Candidatus Azambacteria bacterium
Lineage: Bacteria; Candidatus Azamiibacteriota
Source: Rfam
GGGCGAGUGGCGGAACUGGUAUACGCGCAGCACUUAAAAUGCUGUGAGCUAAAUGCUCUUGAGGGUUCGAGUCCCUCCUCGCCCA